RNAcentral lists this ribosomal RNA (407 nucleotides) under uncultured bacterium. Its description in RNAcentral is "partial 16S ribosomal RNA". It matches the Rfam family "Bacterial small subunit ribosomal RNA", at positions 28 to 526 of the family's 1533-position model. The record is from RNAcentral.
GACGAACGCUGGCGGCGUGCCUAAUACAUGCAAGUAGGACGCAGUUGCGAACGGGUGAGUAACGCGUAGGUAACUACCUAUUAGAGGGGGAUAAAUAUUGGAAACGAUAGCUAAUACCGCAUACUAGUAGAUGGACCUGCGUUGUAUUAGCUAGUAGGUAGGGUAAUGGCCUACCUAGGCAACGAUCCAUAGCCGAACUGUGAGGUAGAGUGGCCACACUGGGACUGGGACACGCCCCAGACUCCUACGGUAGGCAGCAGUAGGGAAUCUUCUGCAAUGGGGGGAACCCUGACCGAGCAACGCCGCGUGAGUGAAGAAGGUUUUCGGAUCGUAAAGCUCUGUUGUUAAAGAAGCGGUACUUAACCAGAAAGGGACUGCUAACUACGUGCCAGCCGCCGCGGUAAUAC